GGCCCCAUCGUCUAGCCCGGUUAAGGACGCAUGGUUCUCAUCCAUGAAACACCGGUUCAAAUCCGGUUGGGGCCA
This 75-nucleotide transfer RNA is filed under the name Candidatus Staskawiczbacteria bacterium. RNAcentral's name for it is "tRNA-Glu". It matches the Rfam family "tRNA". Rfam says of the family: Transfer RNA (tRNA) molecules are approximately 80 nucleotides in length. Their secondary structure includes four short double-helical elements and three loops (D, anti-codon, and T loops). Lineage: Bacteria; Candidatus Staskawicziibacteriota. The record is from RNAcentral.